RNAcentral lists this ribosomal RNA (393 nucleotides) under uncultured bacterium. RNAcentral's name for it is "bacterial SSU rRNA". It matches the Rfam family "Bacterial small subunit ribosomal RNA", at positions 28 to 424 of the family's 1533-position model. The record is from RNAcentral.
GACGAACGCUGGCGGCGUGCUUAACACAUGCAAGUCGAGCGGUAAGGCCCUUUCGGGGGUACACGAGCGGCGAACGGGUGAGUAACACGUGGGUGACCUGCCUUUAGCUCUGGGAUAAGCCUGGGAAACCGGGUCUAAUACCGGAUAUGACUCCAUGACGCAUGUUGUGGGGUGGAAAGCCUUGUGCGGCUAGGGAUGGGCCCGCGGCCUAUCAGCUUGUUGGUGGGGUGAUGGCCUACCAAGGCGACGACGGGUAGCCGGCCUGAGAGGGCGACCGGCCACACUGGGACUGAGACACGGCCCAGACUCCUACGGGAGGCAGCAGUGGGGAAUCUUGCGCAAUGGGCGAAAGCCUGACGCAGCGACGCCGCGUGAGGGAUGACGGCCUCGGUU